Molecule: ribosomal RNA, 305 nt
Filed under: uncultured bacterium
Lineage: Bacteria
Description: bacterial SSU rRNA
Rfam family: Bacterial small subunit ribosomal RNA
Source: RNAcentral
UUUCUCCUACGGGGCGCAGCAGUGGGGAAUAUUGCACAAUGGGGGAAACCCUGAUGCAGCAACGCCGCGUGAGUGAAGAAGUAUUUCGGUAUGUAAAGCUCUAUCAGCAGGGAAGAAAAAAGACGGUACCUGACUAAGAAGCCCCGGCUAACUACGUGCCAGCAGCCGCGGUAAUACGUAGGGGGCAAGCGUUAUCCGGAUUUACUGGGUGUAAAGGGAGCGUAGACGGCCGUGCAAGUCUGAUGUGAAAACCCGGGGCUCAACCCCGGGACUGCAUUGGAAACUGCAUGGCUGGAGUGUCGGAG